CCCUAUUAUUCUAUCAUUGUAUAAUAAUUCAAAGAAAAAAAACAAAAUAAAUUUGACGGUAUUAAAUUUUACAAAGGAAUUUGUUUCAAAAUCGAAAAUACACGACAAACCUUACUUAAUAAAUAUUUGUAUACCACCGUAUAAAGUAAUUAUUCCAAAUAAAAUACAAAAAAAAUUAUUUUUAAAUAUCAGGUCAAGGCGCAAUUUUAUUAAGAUGAAAUGAAUUACAUUUAUAUUAUAAAUCUAUAAAAACUGAAAAUUUUUUAAAAACAGAAUUUGUUAGUAAAAUAUAAUCAUCAUGUUUUUUUGAAAAAUAACAUUAAUAUGUACAUAUCGCCCG
This 340-nucleotide ribosomal RNA is filed under the name Epiperipatus sp. 12 CSC-2019. Its description in RNAcentral is "partial small subunit ribosomal RNA". The record is from RNAcentral. Lineage: Eukaryota; Metazoa; Onychophora; Udeonychophora; Euonychophora; Peripatidae.